CAAGCGGGCGAGAGGAUCGCGGCGCGGCAUGUCCGCGCUGAGGAAAGUCCGCCCUCCAUAGGGCACGGUGCGAGCUAACGGCUCGGCGGGGCGACCCGACGGAAAGUGCAGCAGAGAGGUGUAUUGCCGGCGCUUGUUCGCAGGCGGCGGCGAGGGUGAAACGGUGGUGUAAGAGACCACCAGCGCCGACAGUAAUGCCGGCGGCUCGGCAAACCCCACCGGGAGCAAGGUCAAACAGGCGCAUUGGGGCGGCCCGUCCCGUAAAAAGCGCCGGGUAGACCGCACGAGGGGCGUGGUGACGCGCUCCCCAGAGAGAUGAUCCUCCACGACAGAAGGCGGCUUAUCCGCCCGCUUGGGUC
Molecule: RNase P RNA, 359 nt
Filed under: Chloroflexota bacterium
Lineage: Bacteria; Bacillati; Chloroflexota
Also listed under: 2 other names
Description: Chloroflexi bacterium RNase P RNA component class A
Rfam family: Bacterial RNase P class A
About the family: Ribonuclease P (RNase P) is a ubiquitous endoribonuclease, found in archaea, bacteria and eukarya as well as chloroplasts and mitochondria. Its best characterised activity is the generation of mature 5'-ends of tRNAs by cleaving the 5'-leader elements of precursor-tRNAs.
Source: RNAcentral